AUAUAACAAUAAGAAAUUAAGGGUUCGGGAAGGAGAGGGGCCACCCUGUGCUCACCCCCACACAGCCCUGCAGGAAAACCCAGUGAACGGUGCCCAGGUGCCUGGCUGACUCCUGGGCCGGGAGGGGACAUGGAGGGACAGUGGCCAUCAGGCUCUUUGUGGACACUGGGGAUUAACUACUGCUCGUUCUCAGCUCACUGGUGUCCAGCCCAUCAAUAACCUCAUCAAUAACCUAACUUUGGUCAAUUAGGUUGGAGUCCGAAGGUGACUGAUUUGCGGCAAGGUUUUCUCUCUUCCUCUGUAAAGUGGAGUCCUUCAUCAUUCAUCGCAAGUAGACAACUCGCUUCCUAAUGCCUCUGCAUUAAGGAGCCAGGCGCUGCAGCUCUUUGGUACGUGACCUCAAAUAGAUUCAUGCGUCCUUCUGCUGACACGCCCUGGGUUCUGGGACCUUUGGAAACCGCUUUGGACGAAGCUGAGCAUCUCUUUCCCCACGCUGACCUCCCCCAUAGACUCCGGAUGGGAGUAAAUGAGGCUCCUGGGAAAUCCAGAAACUCUAGAGAAGCUUGUUUGCCAAACCUUGCUUUGGGCGGUGGAGACAGAAUAUCAUGUCCCAGAUCAGCGUGUGGUGACUGUGGAGGCAUUUACACACAGCACACUCCAGCUCUGCCACUGGGCCGGCUGAGGUGGCUGCGGUACACGGCGCCCAUCCUGAGCCCCAGGUUCCUCACAUGUCAACAGCAUGAAAAGUGCCUCUAAGACAUCCACAGGUGUGCAGUGUUAAAGCAGGCAGCGCCUCAGCUUGGUUAGCUCCCUUAAGGACUGCGGCUCCCUUAGGACAAGGCUCUGUCCCUCAGAGCACUGAGUGCGAUCUCAUGCUGGCAUCUUAGAGACAUUGUAUUCACCAGGUAAGAUGGAUUCACAUCUGCUGGGUGCACGAACACUUCCUCCUUCCUUGCCACCAGCCAGCAUCACAACCAGCCUGGCCAGGCUCCCGUCCCAGCCCAGCCUAGCAGCUAACCCCAGCUCCAUCCCCCAGCAAGCCCCUCUGCCUGCACCUCAGCUUCUUCAUGGAAGACGAGUCAGGUCAUGAUGCCACCAGGGAGCGUGUUUCCAUGUUGAACUGAGACACUAAGCCCUUGACAAAUGUUGGCCAAGAAAAAAAAGGGGCUCCAAGAGGGGAGCUGUGGCUCAGGUAGAAGACGGUGAAUGAGCAUUGCCUGAAUCAGAGUUAGCUACUCUGGUUACACAGGUGUCCCCGGCAGGUUGGUCAAAAGCCCUUCCCUGAGUCCCGUGAUAAGUGUGGGGAGGGAGGCAAAUCAAAGACCCCUACACACCUCCUGCAUGGAUGGCCAGAGCGCUGGUCCCACCUCCUUCCUUCCAAACUGCAACCCCGAUCAGCACAGCAGAGAAGUCUCCUGUGGCAGGGACCAGUAAUUCAGUGCUUCCCCUGGAGAGUCUGGGAUUGCACAGAACACCAGAGGCUGGGGAUUUAUUUGUUCACCAACAUUCAUUCAACAAACACUUACUGAGGCCAACACUGGGAAUGGAGACGAACUUCCCUGUCCUCAUGGAGCUUGCUUUCAAAAGGGAAGGAGGCAGACAGUAAACAAAACAAGCAAGUCAAUAUACAGCAUGAUGCAGAAAAGGUGUGAUGCCACCCUCUUGCCUGAGUUUAUAACAAGCAGAUGAUGUUGUCCUAAGAAUUAAUUUCAGCCGGUGAAAGAGUACAGGCAAAAAACGUGGUCUCGGACUUUCCGGUGAUGCUUAAGAACAUAGUUGCAGUUUUUGUUCUGAUUCUUUGUGCAUCUCGCGCUAAUGAAGGAUUCUGCCAUGAUUGCCACCUCUGGAGACGUCACAGCCAGCACAGCCAUGACCAGGGAUGAACUUGGCCAUUGUCCAGCAGCACCAUGGGAGGACCAGCUGCUGUAAGUGAAGGUCAUCAUCCAUCUGAUUUGCUGGCUUUUUGCAACUACUGCGGUGGAAGUCUUAGAGUAGCCACCUUCUCUGUACUCAGACCUUCACUUCGCCAGAUGUCAGCACAGCAGUGUCAGCAGCUUCGUCAAACACAAACACCACCACCUCUCUGGAUCAGAAGCACAUGGAAAGCCCACCUUGCAAGAAGACCCAGCUAUUCCAAAAGUACCCAUAUCCCUGUAGCAUCCUCUUAGCUGAAUGUCUCUACUCCUUAAACUUGUACCACUUUGAAGAGUAAAAAUUUAAAUUCAUUCAUAUUAUCAUUUUUUAGUUUUUAGUAUAAGUGGAGCUGUUUAUCGGCCAUUUGUAUGUCCUUUUCUUUUUUUUGCAAAUUACUCCUUUGCCAAAUUUUCUCUCAAAUGACUCAUCUUUUUCUUAUUGAUUUGCAGAAGCUAUUUACAUAUUAUGGAUGUGGGGUGUCUAACAUACACAGCAAAUACUUUGUCCCAGUGUGUCACUUUUUAAAAAAAUUCUUAUAAUGUCUUUCAUCUUUAAAAAAUUAUUAAGCUAUUGUGAGCUUUUAUGCCUUUUCAGUUUAUUUUCUUACAUAGAUAAUUAUAUGAAGUGCAAAUAGGGGCAGUGUUAGUCUCAUCUUCCCAAGGCUGCACCUCAGAUGUGGAAUGUUGACAGCAACAUCUGUUACCUUGUUUCUGUUUUUAGGAUUUUAGCGUUAAGGCCAGGCAUAAUGGUUCAUGCCUGUAAUUCCAGCACUUUGGGAGGCCGAGGUGGGCAGAUCACUUGAAGCCAGGAGUUCAAGACCAGCCUGGCCAACAUGGAGAAACCCUCUCUAUUUUUAAAUACAUUUAAAAUGUUAACAAUUAAAACAAAAUAUUUUACCGUUAGUAUGAUGCUUGAUACAGGAUUUCUGGUACAUACGCCUUAUCAAAUUAAAUAAGUUUCCUUUUACUCUUGUUUAUUGUUAUUUUUUAAAAUAAGGAAUGAAUCUUGGAUUUUAGUGUAUCAAUAAUUAUAUUUUAUUCUUUAACUUCAUAAUAUUCCUUAUAAUUCCUUAUGUCAUAUUAAAGAUGUAAAUUCAUAUAUAUUUUAUCAUACAAAUGAUUAAUAAAUGUAUAAGCAUGUCAUUAUAUGAGAGUAUACUUCCUUAUGUUUCAUGAAUGCAUCGUGACAGGCUCAUUUUUUUAAUCACUGCUCGAUUUGUGCCACUGAUGUUUUAUGAGGCCUAUUUAUGUCGGCGAUGGUAAGAGUGUUAGUGUUUCCUCUGUGGGUACCUUCAUCUACCGUGAGUCUCCUGGAUAUGCUAGCAUCACAGAAUGGCAGGCGGAAAUUUCCAGCUUUUUCUAUAGAAUGAGUUUAACACAGAAAAUAGAUCUUUCUUGAAAAUGUGGUAACACUUACCUGGAAACCUCCCUGGCCUAGUGCCUCUUUUCUUGGGGCUAAAGGGUAUGAAAAUGGGUAGAUCUCCAAAUGCCUUUUCCAUUUUUCUAUGAAUAUUAUUCCUACUCAGGCUUUUCUCUUCUUGGAACAAUGCUGCUAACUUGUGCCUACUUGGCUAUUUCUACUUCAUGUAUAUUUUCAAAUCCAUUGGUGUGCAAGUGGACUUAGUAUGUUCUUGCAAGCGUAAGAGUCUCCAUUAGUGUAAUGACCUUCUCUCUUUCUGUUUUCCUUGAGCAAUUAACAUAUAUUUGUCUUAUUUUAUUGGUCUUCUCAAAAGAAUAUGCUUUUGAGUUAUUGAUCACCUGUACCAUGUGUUCUAUCACACUAUUCUGUGUUUACUCAAGCUCGUUAAUUGAUAUUCAAAUCCCUGUAUUUUGUCAAUUUCUGUUA
This 3759-nucleotide long non-coding RNA is filed under the name Homo sapiens (human). RNAcentral describes it as "long intergenic non-protein coding RNA 1018". The record is from RNAcentral. Lineage: Eukaryota; Metazoa; Chordata; Mammalia; Primates; Hominidae.